Molecule: transfer RNA, 72 nt
Filed under: Camelus ferus (Wild Bactrian camel)
Lineage: Eukaryota; Metazoa; Chordata; Mammalia; Artiodactyla; Camelidae
Rfam family: tRNA
About the family: Transfer RNA (tRNA) molecules are approximately 80 nucleotides in length. Their secondary structure includes four short double-helical elements and three loops (D, anti-codon, and T loops).
Source: Rfam by way of RNAcentral
GCGGGUAUAGCUCAGUGGUAGAACACAUGCUUAGCAUGCACAAGGUCCUGGGUUCAAUCCCCAGUACUUCCA